RNAcentral lists this ribosomal RNA (118 nucleotides) under Blautia faecis. Lineage: Bacteria; Bacillati; Bacillota; Clostridia; Lachnospirales; Lachnospiraceae. The record is from RNAcentral.
UCUGGUGUCGAUACGCUUGUGGGAAACACCCGUUCCCAUCCCGAACACGACGGUUAAGACGCAAGCGGCCGAUGGUACUGCAUUGGAGACGAUGUGGGAGAGCAGGUGGGCGCCAGAU